UUCACUUACUUCCCAGCUCCCCCACCAAUCACUAAUGUGCUGUUCAACUGUAGAUUUAUCUUCUCUAGACACUUUAUAUAACUGGAGUCAGACAAUAAGGGUAUGUUGGCUUCUGGAUUCUUUCACUUAGUUCAGUAUUUUUGAGAUUAGUGUUACAGCUUGCAUUAGUACCUCCUUUUAUUGCCAAACAGUAUUCUGCUGGAUGGACAUACCACAUUUACUUAUCCUUGAACCAUUUGAUGGACAUCUGGAUUUUUCCAAGUUUCUGAGAUUUAGCCAAAUGUAUGUUCUCUUAUAUGAUCUUAAAAGUUCUGAAUAUGGGAUAGUUGAUUUGUACAAUGUCUCUCUUUUUGGACUUGUCUGCCAGACUUGUUCUUUAUCUCUUAGUUAAUAGAUUUGUUGUUUCUUCCUUUUUUUUUGAGACAGGGUCUCACUAUGUGCCUAUGCUAGCCUUGAACUUACUAUCCUAUUAAUGUUAGAUUACAGGUGUGGGCCACUUUGCCUGCUUUAUUAAUAGAUAUAUUGUGGGUAGGUAUAGAUAUUCCAUUCUUUAUCAUACUGUCAGUUUAUUUAUAUUAAUAUGGACUUGAGUUUAUAUUCUAGGGAACUAUGUUGUACUUACUAUUAUUGUAUAAAGACCAUGCCAAAACUUAGUGGAGAGCAUUUUAUUAAGAAGGCUCACUAGUUCUGCGGGUCAGGAAUUUAGACAGGGAGUGGGGAAAGGACUCAUCCUGUGCAGUGUGGGGAGGCCUGGGAGGCACUAGUGACCUUGAAGUUAGGCCAGAACCUUCCAGAGGUGGUGUCACUGUGCUGGUGGGUGUGGAACCCUGAAUCUCUGUUGGGUUCAUGCGUGUAGACAUGGUGGCUGGAUUCCAUAUGUGGUGUUGAGAGCAAAAGGUGUGACAUUUUCAUGAUCUAGUCUUGGGGUUCGUUCUCAUGGCACUGCACUCUCCAUACUUGGUUGAUUUAGGUAGCCAUAAAAGUUCUGCCUAGCAUUUGGGAGGAGCAUUAGCUUUCUGUGAAAUAGGUACAUGUAUCUUUGGAAAGUUUUGUGCUUCAGGCCAUGAUCUGUUACUGUCAUUUACUUGGUGCCAGUGUCCUAUAUUGGCCUGUGGAACCUCCAAGCUGGUUUCUUCUGUGUUCUGUGAAUGACUCAUCAUUCUCUGAGCAACUGUCUUAUUUUUUGGCACAGGAUGGUUAGGCUCAUCUUGUCUUUGCCUUGCUCUAGCCCUAGAAUUGGCUGUUUCCCAAGGAGCCCUAGUUCUUAACAGAAAGUAGUAUUUAGAAAUGAAGAUUGGGGCCCUAGGUAGGCCCACUGCUGCCAGGGUGUGUGACUUCUGACAGUUUCUCUUUGGACAGAGUUGUGGAUUGGACAGAGUUGUGGAAUAUAAACAUCUGUGUGCAUACACUCUCACAGUGUGUUGAUUUUUAUCUGUGUUGAUGAGGUCACAUCAGUGCUUCCUAGUCUGAUUGAGUACCAUAGUGUUUAAUUCUGUGCCUUUUCAGAUAUUUAAAAAAUAGGUUUAUUGCAAUAGUGUACAUAGUACAUACUGUACAGAUGACCCAUUCUUAUGUAUGUAUGUAUUUGAUUUUUUGAGACAGCCUCAUAGCCCAGACUGGCCUGGAACCUGCUGUGUAGCCCAAGCUGGCUUCGAACUUGCGAUCCUCCUGCCUCCUGGUGUUGGGAUUACAGGCCUGUACCACCUUUCCCUGUUCAAUUCACCUUGAAUUCACGAUCCUCCUUUCUCAGUGUUCCACCUUCUAAGAUUACAGGCAUGUGCCACCAUGUAUGCUCACAGUUGAUUUUUGAACAUUGUCAUUGUUCCAAAAAGAGGCCAGUUCUCCCCAGCCUCAGGCAAACCCCUGUUGUAUUUUCUGUCUAUAAAUAGAUCUGUUUGUACACUUCAUGUAAGUGGAAUCAUACACAUAUGGUCCUUUGCGUCUGGCCUCUCCUAACUCAGCAGAAUGUUUCUAAGGUUCAUCCACAUUUUCUAGCGUGUAUCCAUGCUUUGUUUCUUUCUGUGGCUCCAAAUAUGGGUGUAUGCAUUUUAUGUGUCCUGUCAUCACUUGAUGGAGAUUUGGUCAUUGUGAGUAAUGCUGCCCCAAACACCCUUGUCCAAGUUUUUGUGUAGAUAGGUGUUUUUUAUUUCUUGCCAGUAAAAUUUCUGAUUCAAGUGGUUCUUACAUGCUUAGUCUUUUGAGGGACUUCCAGACUUUUCCAAACUGGUUAUAGUGUGUGCCUUUCUAUUAGCAAGACAUGAGAGUUACAGUUUUUCCACACUCUUGCCAAUACAUGUUGUUUUCCUUAUUUAAAAAGUGUAGACAUUCUACUAUAUAGCAUCUCACUGUGAUUUUGAUUUGUAUUUCCCAUGGCUGAUGAUAUUGAGCAUCCUUUCAUGUGCUUAAUGUCUGUAUAUUUGCUUUGGCAAAAUAAUUGUAGAUCCUUUGUCCAUUUUAAAAUUGGGUUACUUGCCUUUUAGUUAUUGAGUUAACAAGAUUUCUUCAUAUAUUGUGGAUACAAAUUCUUUAUCAGAAAUAUGAUUUGAAAAUGUUUUCCCAUUUUGUGGAAUUUUUGCCUUUUUGAUGGUAGCCUUGGAGGUAUUAAAGUUUUUAAUCUUGUUGAAGUCUAAGUUACUUUUUUCUUCUGUUGCUCAUUCUUUUUGGUGUCUUAUAUAUUGCCAAAUUCAAAGCCAUGACAAUCGUUCUCUCACAGAAGUCUUAUAGUUUAGCUCAUAUUUACAUGUAGAUGUCUGAUCUGCAUUUGCAUGUGUGCUAUAAGGAAGGAGUCCAGUCUCAUUCUUUUGCAUGUGGUUAUCCAGUUUUCCCAGCAUCAUUUGUUGAAAAUUAUAUUCCACUCCUAUUGUUUUACCAGCCCUCAUGUUUUCACAUUUACAUAUUUACAUAAAAUACGUGUUAUAGUUUUGUUUUCUCUUUUAAGGAAAAUUUCAAAAAUGUUUCAAAUUCCUGUGGAAAAUCUUGACAGUAUCAGAAAGGUGCGGAAGAGGGUGAAAGGCAUUCUUGUGGAUAUUGGACUUGACAGCUGCAAGGAGUUGCUGAAGGAUCUGAAAGACUUUGAUCCAGGAGAGAAGUACUUUUAUAACACAUCAUGGGGAGAUGUUUGUCUCUGGGAAUCUUCUGGAAAGAAAAUGAGGUACAGAACAAAGCCAUACUGUUGUAGCCUCUGCAAGU
This is a non-coding RNA of Castor canadensis (American beaver), 3189 nucleotides long. NCBI's taxonomy places the organism in Eukaryota, Metazoa, Chordata, Mammalia, Rodentia, Castoridae. The record is from RefSeq and is a predicted model, not a curated record.